AGGAGUAGAAGACAUGGUGACAGAAGCAAGAGGCUGGAGUCACUCAUGGAAGGGGCCACGAGCCGAGAAGUACAGGCAGCCUCCAGAAACUGGAAAGGCAUGCAGCCGGAUGUCCCCCCUGCAAUCCCGAAGCCUCCAGAAGGAAUGCAGCUUUAUUGGCACCUCAAUUUUAGCUCCAUAAAAUCCAGUUUUUGGACUUGUGCACUCUACAACAUUCACCAAAAUGGUACCCACAGUUGAAAACACUCAUAAGAAUAAUGAAGUCACAUUGCGAUGGACUUUGCUCUCCCAGCUCAAAUUAUGUGCCAACUAAUACAGCAAAUCGUAUGAUAUAUUUAUCAAGUGAUUUGCCACCCACGUCUGUCCCACUCAGAAAAGCCUAUUGCAAUGCAAGAGAAUGAGCGUGAUACCAUUAAAGGGUUGAUCUUGGAUCUAGUCUAAUUUGUGAAGAACAUUUUAUAAGUCACUCAACCAUCAUGAGUAACAAAUCGCUGGGGAAGUGGCUUAGGCCUCCCAGCCACAUGCCAGGAAGCCUGUGUUUGGCAAUGACUGUUGCUCUGUACAGAAUGGCUCAAGUGUUCUAUUGGAAGCAGUUGGACCUUGUGGCUUUCAUGCUGUCACCCUUGUAUUAUUUCUUGGUGUGUCCAGGUAAAGCUGGAGCUCCUUAGCCCAGCCAGAAAGGCAGCUCAUGGUGCAGCCCCUGCCUGCCUCUCUGGACUCAUCUCCCCUGCUUCCCUGUUUGCAUUGUGGUUUUUGCUUUCCGCCUCCAGAGAUAUUGGAGACUCUGCUGUAUUCACUAUGAUCUGGUUAAGCAUCUCCUCCAGAAAGUCAUUCCGAGCCUCUUCACUGUUCUCUCUACACUGGGUCAAGAGCCUGUGGUGUUCUCAUGAGCUCUUUCUUCAGUAUCCAUAUGAACCACUAGACCAAGAGCACCUGACGGACAAGUUAUUUAUCUUCAUGACACAAACUGUACUAAUGGAAUGUUUGUGAAUGAAAAUGUACUUUGAUGAACCAGAACCAGAUACUCUAUUUAUUUAUUUAUUUGUUUGUUUAUUUAUUUAUUUAUGUGAGAUAGGGUCUUGUUCAGUUGUCCAGGCUGGAGUGCAGUGGUGCAGUCUCAGCUCACUGCAGCCUCAAACUCUCAGGGCUCAGGUGAUCCUCCCACCUCAGCCUCCCAAGCAGUUGGGCCCACAGGAGUGCACCACCAUGCCCAGCUAAUGACUGUAUUUUUUGUAGACGUGGGGUUUCGCCAUGGUGCCCAGGCUGUCAUGGCAGCCCUAACAGAUGAAUCCAGUGGCAUAUGAAAUAACUGCUAAGAACCAUGUGAUAGCUGGAUGGGGGUUUGUCUGUGCACAUAUGCACAUACACACAAGACAUCCACAUGUGUGAAAGAGGGUGUUGCAUUCCUUAAGAGUAGUAUACUUAUUUAUGUAUUCUGUGUAGGAUACUUAUUUAUAUGAGAAACUCUAGCGCAUGAGAAAAUGUUGAACAAGAAUUUAAGAGGAUUUUCUGUUUACCCUGAGUUUAACUAUAAAAUUAGAGUUCUUCCCUAAAUAUUAUUGUUAAUAUUAUACAUGUUGUUUUUUGCUGUAAAAUAUUCAGAGAUUAUCUAAGUAAUUCUGCCACUAUCUGUCAUGAUGUAGUGACUAUGUGCAUUUCUGUUGGACAUUUAAUUUCUAUUUGAUAAUUUAUUUCUGUUCAAUAUGUAUAUUUGUAGAAUUAUUUCUGAGAUAUAGAUGUUCAUUGCUAUCCAGAAUAUUUUAUGUAAUAAACUCUAUGUUUUCUGUCAUA
Molecule: long non-coding RNA, 1791 nt
Filed under: Homo sapiens (human)
Lineage: Eukaryota; Metazoa; Chordata; Mammalia; Primates; Hominidae
Description: HSALNT0356633
Source: RNAcentral